AUGCACCUCCACGGGCAUGACUUCUUCAUCCUCGCACAAGGGUUCGGGAGAUACGACGAGGAGAAGGAUGUGCACGCGUACAACCUAGUGGAUCCGCCCGUGAGGAACAUGGCCCUCGUCCCCAUGUAUGGGUGGACUGCCAUCCGAUUCGUCACAAGUAAUCCUGGGGUGUGGUUCUUGCACUGCCAUAUCGAACAACACAUAUCCUCGGGCAUGGCAGUGGCAUUCGUGGUGGAGAACGGACCAACAAAGGAUACCACUCUUCCCCCGCCUCCUGCAGAUUAUCCAAGCUGUGAUGAUCCAGAUGAUAAAGUGUUGUACGAAUGA
RNAcentral lists this ribosomal RNA (327 nucleotides) under Triticum aestivum (bread wheat). RNAcentral describes it as "partial small subunit ribosomal RNA". Lineage: Eukaryota; Viridiplantae; Streptophyta; Magnoliopsida; Poales; Poaceae. The record is from RNAcentral.